UAUCAAUAAGCGGAGGAAAAGAAACUAACAAGGAUUCCCCUAGUAGCGGCGAGCGAAGCGGGAAGAGCUCAAAUUUAUAAUCUGGCACCUUCGGUGUCCGAGUUGUAAUCUCUAGAAGUGUUUUCCGCGUUGGACCGCGCAUAAGUCUGUUGGAAUACAGCGGCACAGUGGUGAGACCCCCGUAUGUGGUGCGGACGCCCAGCGCUUUGUGAUACACUUUCGAAGAGUCGAGUUGUUUGGGAAUGCAGCUCAAAUUGGGUGGUAAAUUCCAUCUAAAGCUAAAUAUUGGCGAGAGACCGAUAGCGAACAAGUACCGUGAGGGAAAGAUGAAAAGCACUUUGGAAAGAGAGUUAACAGUACGUGAAAUUGUUGGAAGGGAAACGCUUGAAGUCAGACUUGCUUGCCGGGCAACCGGUUUGCAGGCCAGCAUCAGUUUUCCGGGGUGGAUAAUGGUAGAGAGAAGGUAGCAGUUUCGGCUGUGUUAUAGCUCUCUACUGGAUACACCUUGGGGGACUGAGGAACGCAGUGUGCCUUACGGCGGAGGUUUCGACCUCUUCACACUUAGGAUGCUGGUGGAAUGGCUUUAAACGACCCGUCUUGAAACACG
This 607-nucleotide ribosomal RNA is filed under the name Rhodotorula sphaerocarpa. Its description in RNAcentral is "eukaryotic LSU rRNA". It matches the Rfam family "Eukaryotic large subunit ribosomal RNA", at positions 41 to 663 of the family's 3401-position model. Lineage: Eukaryota; Fungi; Basidiomycota; Microbotryomycetes; Sporidiobolales; Sporidiobolaceae. The record is from RNAcentral.